ACCCGGAGCACCGGGCCAUGAAAAAAGGAACUCGCUCAAUCUCAACACAAGCAACACUACACCGAGCAGCUGUGUUUUUGUCAGAGCUGAGGAGUCGUCCAAACGUCCGCAAGAGUUAAAAGAAAGAGUCCACAAUGAAGACCCAAACUUGUUUCGCCUUCUCCAUACAACAAUUUGCUCUUUGUUUUCUGGUUGGUGCCAUUUACAUAGUGAAUGGUGACUACUGUGAGAUAAAUGUCUGCACUAAUGGGGGGAGCUGUGUGACUGGCCCCAGAUCCUCCUUCAUCUGUAUCUGCCCCGAUGGCUAUACUGGGGACACGUGCAAUGACACCGAGACUGGGCCCUGCAACCCAAACCCCUGCAAGAGGAUGGCUU
Molecule: long non-coding RNA, 375 nt
Organism: Oncorhynchus tshawytscha (Chinook salmon)
Lineage: Eukaryota; Metazoa; Chordata; Actinopteri; Salmoniformes; Salmonidae
Exons: 3
Source: RefSeq, a predicted model, not a curated record